AUGAACGCUGGCGGCGUGCCUAAUACAUGCAAGUCGAGCGAACGGACGAGAAGCUUGCUUCUCUGAUGUUAGCGGCGGACGGGUGAGUAACACGUGGAUAACCUACCUAUAAGACUGGGAUAACUUCGGGAAACCGGAGCUAAUACCGGAUAAUAUUUUGAACCGCAUGGUUCAAAAGUGAAAGACGGUCUUGCUGUCACUUAUAGAUGGAUCCGCGCUGCAUUAGCUAGUUGGUAAGGUAACGGCUUACCAAGGCAACGAUGCAUAGCCGACCUGAGAGGGUGAUCGGCCACACUGGAACUGAGACACGGUCCAGACUCCUACGGGAGGCAGCAGUAGGGAAUCUUCCGCAAUGGGCGAAAGCCUGACGGAGAAACGCCGCGUGAGUGAUGAAGGUCUUCGGAUCGUAAAACUCUGUUAUUAGGGAAGAACAUAUGUGUAAGUAACUGUGCACAUCUUGACGGUACCUAAUCAGAAAGCCACGGCUAACUACGUG
Molecule: ribosomal RNA, 496 nt
Filed under: uncultured bacterium
Lineage: Bacteria
Description: partial 16S ribosomal RNA
Rfam family: Bacterial small subunit ribosomal RNA
Source: RNAcentral